This is a transfer RNA of Anabaena sp. 90, 72 nucleotides long. It matches the Rfam family "tRNA". Rfam says of the family: Transfer RNA (tRNA) molecules are approximately 80 nucleotides in length. Their secondary structure includes four short double-helical elements and three loops (D, anti-codon, and T loops). NCBI's taxonomy places the organism in Bacteria, Bacillati, Cyanobacteriota, Cyanophyceae, Nostocales, Nostocaceae. The record is from Rfam.
GCCGAUGUGGCUCAGGGGUAGAGCAACUGAUUCGUAAUCAGUAGGUCGUGAGUUCAAAUCUCAUCAUCGGCU